GGCCCCGACUCCCCUCCGCACGGGAGCUGGAGCCUGGGCCUGCUGCCCACGCCCCGCGGGGUGUCUAGGACUCCUCAGCCUUGGCCGUGUUUAAACUCAGGGUGAGGGUGGAGGGGGGUUGGUCUGUCAGCGUGGGGCAGUUAGGUGUGCUUGAGGUGGCCCUGUAGGGACAGACAGGCCGAGUGACAUGGUGAUUUUUUUUUUUCCCUGGUGGGUGGGGAGCACUUCAAGGAAUAAGUCGUCAGACUGAAACUUAUUAAAACAUCAGAGAUUCGAAUAAUUUUAUAAGUGGUCUUAAAGGGGAAAGAAGAUCCAGCCCACUAGCUUAGAUCAAGAUUUACUUGUGAUCAUCAGUUGGAGAAGACUGGACCAUAUGGAACGACCAAGAGUCAAGCCAACUCUUCAAGUCAACUCGCGAAAUUCUCACCUGCAAUCAGAUACAAUGACAUCGAUGGAGGCAAAAGGCACCAUGCGUUUACCUGCACUCUGUGCGAAUGGAAUUGGAUUGCCGAUGAGGCCAGGCGCAGGGGGGUGUGAAACUAUGUACAAAAUUAAAUGUGAGCGAGAAAUGCUGAUCAAAUCCUUUGGAAAGAGGUGUUUACUGUUCAAGAAAUACUGCGAACGUGGCUGCAAGGAUCAAUGCUGCGCUUACCCAAUAAAAGUGGAAGAGGGAAGAUAAUGGCCUGAAUAGUGACGUGUCUACGGACAUAAAUGUACAAGUGGCUGGCCAGCGGGGGUUUUUGUGGAGGAACCUCAGAGAGAGAGAUGCCGUUCCCCAGGCUGUUUCUAAAUACACGGAGAUUACUUCUCGAAAGAUUUUGAACAGUUCUUUUGUCCAAACCCAAGACCCUAUAAUACAUAAGCUCCCUCAAAUGGGGCAUUCGAAUUUCGCUUACUUAGAGAUGUCUGAAGCUUUCAAGAAUGAGAGAAGUGAGGGUGAAAAGACAUCUUUUUAUGGUCUGUUUUGGGUAGCUGAACAGGUAGGCAGACACGCAAAAGAGAUACUUCUGGAAGCUGCCUUGCUUCAGAAGGUACCUUCUUAUUUGCUAAAAGUUUAUGUUAUUGUCAAUAAACUCAAAAGACAAGCUGUCA
This 1092-nucleotide long non-coding RNA is filed under the name Felis catus (domestic cat). RNAcentral's name for it is "lncRNA (ENSFCAG00000049076.1)". Lineage: Eukaryota; Metazoa; Chordata; Mammalia; Carnivora; Felidae. The record is from RNAcentral.